Molecule: non-coding RNA, 30 nt
Filed under: Rattus norvegicus (Norway rat)
Lineage: Eukaryota; Metazoa; Chordata; Mammalia; Rodentia; Muridae
Source: RNAcentral
UAAUAUUUUCCAUGUUUUCUACAGUGUAUU